GAUAGUGAACCAGUACUGUGAAGGAAAGGCGAAAAGAACCCCGGGAGGGGAGUGAAAUAGAACCUGAAACCGCAUACAUACAAACAGUAGGAGCCCCUGCAGUGGGGUGACUGCGUACCUUUUGCAUAAUGGGUCAGCGACUUACGUUUUGUGGCGAGCUUAACCGAGUAGGGGAGGCGUAGCGAAAGCGAGUUCGAAUAGAGCGAAGAGUCUCAAGGCGUAGACCCGAAACCAGAUGAGCUAUCCAUGGCCAGGUUGAAGGUGUGGUAACACACACUGGAGGACCGAACCGACUAGUGUUGCAAAAUUAGCGGAUGAGCUGUGGAUAGGGGUGAAAGGCUUAACAAAUCUGGAGAUAGCUGGUUCUCCCCGAAAACUAUUGAGGUAGUGCCUCGUGUAUUGCUCCAGGGGGUAGAGCACUGUUAUGGCUAGGGGGACAUGGCGUCUUACCAAACCAUGGCAAACUCCGAAUACUUGGAAGUAAGAGCACGGGAGACAGAGCACCGGGUGCUAACGUCCGGACUCAAGAGGGAAACAACCCAGACCGCCGUUUAAGGUCCCAAAUAUUGACUAAGUGGAAAACGAAGUGUGAAGGCUAAGACAGUCAGGAAGUUGGCUUAGAAGCAGCCAUCCUUCAAAGAAAGCGUAAUAGCUCACUGAUCGAGUCCUCAUGCGCGGAAGAUGUAACGGGGCUAAGUCAAUAACCGAAAGCGCGGAUUUGCAUGAAAAUGCAAGUGGUAGGGGAGCGUUCUGUAAGCCUGCGAAGGUGGUUCGAGAGGACUGCUGGAGGUAUCAGAAGUGCGAAUGCUGACAUGAGUAACGUUAAAGCGGGUGAAAAGCCCGCUCGCCGUAAGCCCAAGGUUUCCUGCUCUACGUUCAUCGGAGCAGGGUGAGUCGGCCCCUAAGGCGAGGCUGAGAAGCGUAGUCGAUGGGAAGCAGAUUAAUAUUUCUGCACCAUGUGCAAGUGCGAUGGGGGGACGGAGUGCGAAAGAUCAUCCGGGUGUUGGAUGUCCCGGUUUGUGAGUGUAGAAGGCCGACAGGCAAAUCCGUCGGCGGAUCUUCGAGACAAAGCAUCGAGGUUCUACGGAACCGAAGUGAUCGGAAGUGCUUCCAGGAAAAGCCUCUAAGCUUCAGCUUGCAUAUGACCGUACCGUAAACCGACACUGGUGGGCGAGUUGAAUAUACUCAGGCGCUUGAGAGAACUCGGGAGAAGGAACUCGGCAAAUUGACACCGUAACUUCGGAAGAAGGUGUGCCGUAGUACCGUGAGAGGAGAGACACCUUGAGCGGGAAACGGUCUCAGAGAAUAGGUGGCUGCGACUGUUUAUUAAAAACACAGCACUCUGCAAAGUCGAAAGACGACGUAUAGGGUGUGAUGCCUGCCCGGUGCUGGAAGAUUAAUUGAUGGGCUGAGAGGCCUUGAUCGAAGUCCCAGUAAACGGCGGCCGUAACUAUAACGGUCCUAAGGUAGCGAAAUUCCUUGUC
This 1484-nucleotide ribosomal RNA is filed under the name human gut metagenome. RNAcentral's name for it is "bacterial LSU rRNA". It matches the Rfam family "Bacterial large subunit ribosomal RNA", at positions 486 to 1973 of the family's 2925-position model. The record is from RNAcentral.